RNAcentral lists this non-coding RNA (174 nucleotides) under Durinskia baltica. The record is from RNAcentral. Lineage: Eukaryota; Dinophyceae; Peridiniales; Kryptoperidiniaceae.
CGGAAAAUACACUCGCGGUAAGGAGUGAGUAUAAAAGCAUAAAAACAGGCAAAAAAAGGAAAAAAAAAAAAAAGAGAGAGUAUAUUUAGUGUAUAUGGAAGAAGAUAUAUUCUUAUUCUUUGUGUGCACUUGCAUAUUUCUCCUCGCCAGAUUUUAAUAUUUAUAAGAAGAUAG